This 439-nucleotide ribosomal RNA is filed under the name uncultured bacterium. RNAcentral describes it as "partial 16S ribosomal RNA". It matches the Rfam family "Bacterial small subunit ribosomal RNA", at positions 339 to 795 of the family's 1533-position model. The record is from RNAcentral.
CUACGGGAUGCAGCAGUGAGGAAUAUUGGACAAUGGGCGAAAGCCUGAUCCAGCAAUACCACGUGGAUGAUGAAGGCCUUAGGGUUGUAAAGUCCUUUCGGUAGGAAAGAUAAUGACGGUACCUACAGAAGAAGCACUGGCUAACUUCGUGCCAGCAGCCGCGGUAAUACGGGGGGUGCUAGCGUUGUUCGGAAUUAUAGGGCGUAAAGCGUACGUAGGCUGUUAUAUAAGUUGGUUGUGAAAGCCCAGGGCUCAACCUUGGAACUGCAAUCAAAACUAUAUAACUAGAGUGUGAUAGGGGAUGGCAGAAUUCCUAGUGUAGGGGUGAAAUCCGUAGAUAUUAGGAGGAAUACCAGUGGUGCAGACGGCUAUCUUGGUCAUAACUGACGCUGAGGUACGAAGGUGUGGGGAGCGAACAGGAUUAGAUACCCGUGUAGUC